This 36-nucleotide ribosomal RNA is filed under the name Hemiphaedusa attrita attrita. Its description in RNAcentral is "partial 5.8S rRNA". Lineage: Eukaryota; Metazoa; Mollusca; Gastropoda; Stylommatophora; Clausiliidae. The record is from RNAcentral.
GAAAAACCAGAAAAGAAAUGGGAAAAAAACAACUUU